UCCGGUUGAACCUGCCGGUCCCGACCGCUAUCGGGGUGGGGCUAAGCCAUGGGAGUCGUACGCCCCGCCGCUGCGGGGCGUGGCGGACGGCUGAGUAACACGUGGCUAACCUACCCUCGGGAGGGGGAUAACACCGGGAAACUGGUGCUAAUCCCCCAUAGAGGAGGGGGCCUGGAAGGGUCCCUCCUCGAAAAGGUGUGGCGGGGGUUAACGCUGCCGCACCGCCCGAGGAUGGGGCUACGGCCCAUUAGGUAGUUGGCGGGGUAACGGCCCGCCAAGCCGAUAAUGGGUAGGGGCCGUGAGAGCGGGAGCCCCCAGAUGGGCACUGAGACAAGGGCCCAGGCCCUACGGGGCGCACCAGGCGCGAAACCUCCGCAAUGCGGGAAACCGUGACGGGGCCACCCCGAGUGCCCCCUUACGGGGGCUUUUCCCCGCUGUAGGAAGGCGGGGGAAUAAGCGGGGGGCAAGUCUGGUGUCAGCCGCCGCGGUAAUACCAGCCCCGCGAGUGGUCGGGACGAUUAUUGGGCCUAAAGCGCCCGUAGCCGGCUCGACAAGUCUCCUCCUAAAUCCUCGGGCUCAACCCGAGGAUUGGAGGAGAUACUGUCGAGCUAGGGGGUGGGAGAGGCCGAGGGUACUCCCGGGGUAGGGGCGAAAUCCUAUAAUCCCGGGAGGACCACCAGUGGCGAAGGCGCUCGGCUGGAACACGCCCGACGGUGAGGGGCGAAAGCCGGGGGAGCGAACCGGAUUAGAUACCCGGGUAGUCCCGGCUGUAAACGAUGCGGGCUAGGUGUUGGGUGGGCCUAGAGCCCACCCAGUGCCGCAGGGAAGCCGUUAAGCCCGCCGCCUGGGGAGUACGGCCGCAAGGCUGAAACUCAAAGGAAUUGGCGGGGGAGCACCACAAGGGGUGGAGCCUGCGGUUCAAUUGGAGUCAACGCCGGA
Molecule: ribosomal RNA, 939 nt
Filed under: uncultured archaeon
Lineage: Archaea
Description: bacterial SSU rRNA
Rfam family: Archaeal small subunit ribosomal RNA
Source: RNAcentral